CAAGAGUAGAUGAAUUAGAUUUAGUAAUUCACGUUUGUUUUAUUAGUUUAAUUGCACUCGGCUCAAUCUUUUUUUUACUAAAAAAGAUUGAGCCGAGGUU
Molecule: unclassified non-coding RNA, 100 nt
Filed under: Arabidopsis thaliana (thale cress)
Lineage: Eukaryota; Viridiplantae; Streptophyta; Magnoliopsida; Brassicales; Brassicaceae
Description: partial miscellaneous RNA
Source: RNAcentral